This 480-nucleotide ribosomal RNA is filed under the name uncultured bacterium. RNAcentral's name for it is "bacterial SSU rRNA". It matches the Rfam family "Bacterial small subunit ribosomal RNA", at positions 28 to 507 of the family's 1533-position model. The record is from RNAcentral.
GAUGAACGCUAGCGGCAGGCCUAAUACAUGCAAGUCGAACGGCCCCGACACUUCGGUGUCGGGGUAGUGGCGCACGGGUGCGUAACGCGUACACAACAUACCCUUUACAGGGGGAUAGCGGCGGGAAACUGCCAGUAAUACCCCAUGUCCUUGCGAGGUGGCAUCAUUUUGCAAAGAAAGUUCAAGCGGUAAAGGAUUGGUGUGCGUCCGAUUAGCUAGUUGGCGGGGUAACGGCCCACAAGGCGACGAUCGGUAGGGGGUGUGAGAGCAUGGCCCCCCANACGGGUACUGAGACACGGACCCGACUCCUACGGGAGGCAGCAGUAAGGAAUAUUGGUCAAUGGGCGAAAGCCUGAACCAGCCAUCCCGCGUGCAGGAUGAAGGUCCUAUGGAUUGUAAACUGCUUUUAGUCAGGGAAGAAACGCCUUCAUUCAUGAGGGUCUGACGGUACCUGAGGAAUAAGCACCGGCUAACUCCGUG